This 460-nucleotide ribosomal RNA is filed under the name uncultured bacterium. Its description in RNAcentral is "partial 16S ribosomal RNA". It matches the Rfam family "Bacterial small subunit ribosomal RNA", at positions 338 to 795 of the family's 1533-position model. The record is from RNAcentral.
CCUACGGGAGGCAGCAGUGAGGAAUAUUGGUCAAUGGACGCAAGUCUGAACCAGCCAUGCCGCGUGCAGGAAGACGGCCCUAUGAGUUGUAAACUGCUUUUGUACGAGGGUAAACGCAGAUACGCGUAUCUGUCUGAAAGUAUCGUACGAAUAAGGAUCGGCUAACUCCGUGCCAGCAGCCGCGGUAAUACGGAGGAUUCAAGCGUUAUCCGGAUUUAUUGGGUUUAAAGGGUGCGUAGGCGGUCGGAUAAGUUAGAGGUGAAAUCCCGAGGCUCAACUUCGGAAUUGCCUCUGAUACUGUCCGGCUAGAGAGUAGUUGCGGUAGGCGGAAUGUAUGGUGUAGCGGUGAAAUGCUUAGAGAUCACACAGAACACCGAUUGCGAAGGCAGCUUACCAAGCUACUUCUGACGUUGAGGCACGAAAGCGUGGGGAGCAAACAGGAUUAGAUACCCUGGUAGUC